Molecule: ribosomal RNA, 254 nt
Filed under: Salmonella enterica subsp. enterica serovar Oranienburg
Lineage: Bacteria; Pseudomonadati; Pseudomonadota; Gammaproteobacteria; Enterobacterales; Enterobacteriaceae
Also listed under: 1 other name
Description: partial 23S ribosomal RNA
Rfam family: Bacterial large subunit ribosomal RNA
Source: RNAcentral
CUGUAAGCCUGUGAAGGUGGCCUGUGAGGGUUGCUGGAGGUAUCAGAAGUGCGAAUGCUGACAUAAGUAACGAUAAAGCGGGUGAAAAGCCCGCUCGCCGGAAGACCAAGGGUUCCUGUCCAACGUUAAUCGGGGCAGGGUGAGUCGACCCCUAAGGCGAGGCCGAAAGGCGUAGUCGAUGGGAAACGGGUUAAUAUUCCCGUACUUGGUGUUACUGCGAAGGGGGGACGGAGAAGGCUAUGUUGGCCGGGCGA